GCCUGGGUGGCUCAGUCGGUUGAGCUCCUGACUUCGGCUCAGGUCAAUGAUCUCACAGUUCGUGGGUUCGAGCCCCACGUUGGGCU
Transfer RNA from Felis catus (domestic cat), 86 nucleotides. It matches the Rfam family "tRNA". Rfam says of the family: Transfer RNA (tRNA) molecules are approximately 80 nucleotides in length. Their secondary structure includes four short double-helical elements and three loops (D, anti-codon, and T loops). The record is from Rfam. Lineage: Eukaryota; Metazoa; Chordata; Mammalia; Carnivora; Felidae.